AAAAAAAAAAAAAAGAAAGGGAAGCUCUCCAGAUUCUAACUUUCCUUGUGUGUGUGUGUACAUAUGUAUGUAUAGGAGAGGGAAUGAUAUAGGCAAUCUUAGAAUCUCUACUUAUUUAUUAUUUUUUUGAGGUAUAUUUACCAAUUUUGUUAUGAUUAUUGACUGUUGACUUUGAGCAAACAAAUUGAGAAUUAGUUUCUCUCCAAUUAGAGAAUUUGUUCUCACCCCAAAUCCCCUAAUACCUAUUGGUUUUACAUCAGGGAUGUUCUUCACAUAUGGGAUUGACUAUCCACCCCCAUUAGGUAGACCAAAAAGUGGUUGGUAGCUUUUUUUAAUCAGUAGCUAUAGAUGAAAACUGUUAGGAGCCCAAGCAACUUCAACCAUACGAUACCAUUUAACAUUUGGAUGCUAUAUUCUGGAGAUGUUUGUGGCUAUCCAGAUCAAAUUCAUUUCAGUCACUAUAUGAUCACUUAAAUUUUUGUUUUUUUUCCUAUGUACUUUUGUCUGCCCAUAUUUUUUCAACCACUUCACUUUACUGCUUUAAAAGAAAUAUCGGAUUGAUUUAUUCAGCUGAAUAAGAUUCAUCAGAUUGUCCAAUCAAUAAUUUGUUGUGACAACCAACACAUUUACUGCAUAUUUUUAGUCAUAAUAAUCUAAUUGCCUUUGUUUUAAACAUUAAAAUGAGUAUUGUUUACUUGUUGAAGCAGAAAUUGCUUUUGAGUAAAUCGAUUACUGGAUGUUUGGUCUGAUUGACUUGAGGCACUCAACUAGGCACAGUGAGAAAACACCUCGGUUUCUUUGGACAAAUCAGGCAGGGCACAUUUUGUGGAGCACUUGCUGCUUGUGUUUAGGUUAAUAGAAAGUAUUAAACUUAGGAGACACUUUUGGUAAACUUGUUUUCUUCUAUUAGGAAACUGUUGACCUAGCCACAUUGGUUUUUUUAUUUUUAUUUUUAUUUU
RNAcentral lists this unclassified non-coding RNA (959 nucleotides) under Hevea brasiliensis (rubber tree). Lineage: Eukaryota; Viridiplantae; Streptophyta; Magnoliopsida; Malpighiales; Euphorbiaceae. The record is from RNAcentral.